This 495-nucleotide ribosomal RNA is filed under the name uncultured Colwellia sp. RNAcentral describes it as "bacterial SSU rRNA". It matches the Rfam family "Bacterial small subunit ribosomal RNA", at positions 38 to 524 of the family's 1533-position model. The record is from RNAcentral. Lineage: Bacteria; Pseudomonadati; Pseudomonadota; Gammaproteobacteria; Alteromonadales; Colwelliaceae.
CGGCGGCUGCUUACCAUGCAAGUCGAGCGGUAACAGAGAGUAGCUUGCUACUUUGCUGACGAGCGGCGGACGGGUGAGUAAUGCUUGGGAAUAUGCCUUAUGGUGGGGGACAACAGUUGGAAACGACUGCUAAUACCGCAUAACGUCUACGGACCAAAGGGGGGGAUCUUCGGACCUCUCGCCAUUUGAUUAGCCCAAGUGAGAUUAGCUAGUUGGUAAGGUAAAGGCUUACCAAGGCGACGAUCUCUAGCUGGUUUGAGAGGAUGAUCAGCCACACUGGGACUGAGACACGGCCCAGACUCCUACGGGAGGCAGCAGUGGGGAAUAUUGCACAAUGGGCGAAAGCCUGAUGCAGCCAUGCCGCGUGUGUGAAGAAGGCCUUCGGGUUGUAAAGCACUUUCAGUUGUGAGGAAAGGGGUGUAGUUAAUAGCUGCAUCCUGUGACGUUAGCAACAGAAGAAGCACCGGCUAACUUCGUGCCAGCAGCCGCGGUAAC